RNAcentral lists this long non-coding RNA (301 nucleotides) under Elaeis guineensis (African oil palm). RNAcentral's name for it is "long non-coding RNA (EGUI_LNC052423)". The record is from RNAcentral. Lineage: Eukaryota; Viridiplantae; Streptophyta; Magnoliopsida; Arecales; Arecaceae.
AAUGGCUAGGAACUAAAAAAAAAUACAGUCAAACUCAGUAGCCUCAAUGCGAAUAGCCAAUGGCACUGCAGAUCAAAGGACUACUCACACCACUGCAGCAUCGAGAAGAUCACUGACGAGUGAAUAGACAUUCAUGUGGUUCUCGUGUUGGUCAUGCUUAGUACAAGUUAUUCUCUAACAACCAUCCGUACCUUUAUCCCAGUGUCUCUACAUCGCAGAUCUGAGACUUAUCUGUCCAUAAGGGAGGUGAACCGUGCAUCGAUCUCAAAUAGAUUGAUCACUGUCUUUCAUGACAAUCCUU